Molecule: long non-coding RNA, 711 nt
Organism: Pleuronectes platessa (European plaice)
Lineage: Eukaryota; Metazoa; Chordata; Actinopteri; Pleuronectiformes; Pleuronectidae
Exons: 3
Source: RefSeq, a predicted model, not a curated record
GUUGAUCCAUCCUGCAGCUACAUGGGUUGGAGGAGGCUUCAUUGUUGGCACAGCUGAGAUGGUGUACACUCCGUCAAUGGGACUAACCUGGGCAGCCACGAUGUUAACCGCAUACAGCUCAUCUUUUAUUCUAUGUGGCCUGGUGUUCGCUAAACCACUAAGAGAAAUGAAGUGUGUCACAAUGAUGGACCCUUUCCAAAUCAAGUAUGGAAAAGUUCUGACAGCUGGACUGAGCCUGGCCUGUAUUCUUAUUGAUAUACUAUGGGUAGCAUUAACACUGAUUUGUUUAGGUAAGUGACAAUAUACAGGAGCACUUUAACCAAUCAUCAUAUGUGUGUGUGUUUAGAUCAGUUUAAAAAUAAAUGUAUUUGAAGGAAUACGAGUCAGUGAUAAUGCUGUAUUAGUAUAAUUCCACUGAUACAAGGUGUUUAACAGGAGGCACCAUGAGUGUGGUCCUGGAUUUGCCCUACACUCUGUGUAUCUGGAGCUCUGCUGCAGUUGUCAUCAUCUACACUCUGCUGGGAGGUCUCUACUCUGUGGCCUACACUGAUGUUAUUCAGCUUGUUCUUAUAUUCAUCAGCUUGUGGCUGUGUGUUCCCUUUGUCUUGACAAACCCUAACUGCUUGGACAUCAGCAAGACACUUAUGAAGAACACCUUACACGCUCCCUGGAUUGGUGCAACAGGACGGGAGAAGACCGGGAUCAUGAUGG